Molecule: long non-coding RNA, 1034 nt
Organism: Acinonyx jubatus (cheetah)
Lineage: Eukaryota; Metazoa; Chordata; Mammalia; Carnivora; Felidae
Exons: 5
Source: RefSeq, a predicted model, not a curated record
GUCGGCACGACUCCUGCCCGCCCCCCCGGCUCGCCCGUCGGGCGGGAGGACGGCGCUUCGCACAAAGGGAGAAACGAGGCAGCCCACGCCCAGCGACGGUCUCGGUAGUGAGAAGGGAGACGGCCAGAGACUAAACGAUCCUCCCACCUGCAAGAAAAGUGGGUGUCCGCAAACCGGACGCAAACACCACAGGUCCGCCUGAAGUUAAACCCGGGAACUGCUCAGAGAAAACGAAGGCCGCGGAAAGAAGCGAGCCAGCGGACUCUUCCGUACGCUGACGUCCAGACAUGUAUCAAAUUACUACUCUUGUGGGAACAGAAGUCUCCCUACGGUGAAUAUUCUGUGCUAUCCGUCAUAGGACGCUGCAACCGUUGUACAGGGUUACGUCUUCUCUGCUUCAAUCCCUGGCUAAUUAUACAGACGAUAUAUAAGAUAAAUGCAGUCGGUUCAAGCCAUGCGAGUGCAAGUACGUCACAAGGAUUACAGCUGGGCUGCGUAUCCCUUCCUUUCUGAGACCACUCACAGAUUCAGUGGCAGCAGUGGGAUCGAAGGAGACUUCCAUCAGUUUUGAGAACAACAAGAAACUCAGGCCCCAACCGGAAUUCUUCCUAAGUCUCGGAAGGCAGGGCUGGGGGGCCCCUCAGAAGCCUUGUGCCCCAGCUCCACUUCGGACGCUGUCGUCUGGACCUGGUUCACAGCCGGUGCUCUUGCACUGGCUGCUCAGCACUGAGUCAACGCUAAAUGUUUCCAGACUGCACGUUCCAAACUCCUGUGGACUGUGAUUUCGGUGUUGCCGUGUUUGCGAGGACUCUGGCCAGUUUCAGAUCUGGGCAGUGGCCCAACUCCUGGUUCAAAUUCUCAGUAUCUGGUCUGCUGUUUAGCAUCAGAGACACACAUGCACAGUCCAGGGCUUUCCACAUCUCAGCUGAAGGGGACUCCUUCACAGUCACUCCAGCCGGAAUCCUUACGGUUCCUUCUGCACACUCCUCAUCCGAUCGGUCGGGAGAUCCUCCAAAUCGGAGCACGCCAACCAC